This 18-nucleotide unclassified non-coding RNA is filed under the name Mus musculus (house mouse). RNAcentral's name for it is "oocyte_clustered_small_RNA3253". Lineage: Eukaryota; Metazoa; Chordata; Mammalia; Rodentia; Muridae. The record is from RNAcentral.
UAGCAGGCGGAGCAAAAG